UCCGUCGUGGUGUAGUGGCUAGCAUUUGAGACUCUCAUAUUUCACGCCAAGUGAAAUCGUGGACUCUCAGAACCCGGGUUCAAUUCCCGGCGACGGAA
Molecule: non-coding RNA, 98 nt
Organism: Terfezia claveryi
Lineage: Eukaryota; Fungi; Ascomycota; Pezizomycetes; Pezizales; Pezizaceae
Source: the annotation of a GenBank genome assembly